Molecule: ribosomal RNA, 495 nt
Filed under: uncultured bacterium
Lineage: Bacteria
Description: partial 16S ribosomal RNA
Rfam family: Bacterial small subunit ribosomal RNA
Source: RNAcentral
GACGAACGCUGGCGGCGUGCCUAAUACAUGCAAGUAGAACGCUGAAGGAGGAGCUUGCUUCUCCGGAUGAGUUGCGAACGGGUGAGUAACGCGUAGGUAACCUGCCUGGUAGCGGGGGAUAACUAUUGGAAACGAUAGCUAAUACCGCAUAACAGAAGAUGUUGCAUGACAUUUGCUUAAAAGGUGCAAUUGCAUCACUACCAGAUGGACCUGCGUUGUAUUAGGUAGUUGGUGAGGUAACGGCUCACCAAGGCGACGAUUCAUAGCCGACCUGAGAGGGUGGUCGGCCACCCUGGGACUGAGACACGGCCCAAACUCCUACGGGAGGCAGCAGUAGGGAAUCUUCGGCAAUGGACGGAAGUCUGACCGAGCAACGCCGCGUGAGUGAAGAAGGUUUUCGGAUCGUAAAGCUCUGUUGUAAGGGAAGAACGAGUGUGGGAGUGGAAAGUGCACACUGUGACGGUAUCUUACCAGAAAGGGACGGCUAACUACGUG